Molecule: ribosomal RNA, 660 nt
Filed under: uncultured bacterium
Lineage: Bacteria
Description: bacterial SSU rRNA
Rfam family: Bacterial small subunit ribosomal RNA
Source: RNAcentral
AGAGUUUGAUCAUGGCUCAGGACGAACACUGGGCGGCGUGCCUAAUACAUGCAAGUCGAGCGAAUCAAUGGGAGCUUGCUCCCUGAGAUUAGCGGCGGACGGGUGAGUAACACGUGGGUAACCUGCCUGUAAGACUGGGAUAACUUCGGGAAACCGGAGCUAAUACCGGAUAAGUUCUUUUCUCGCAUGAGGAGAGAUGGAAAGAUGGUUCUGCUAUCACUUACAGAUGGACCCGCGGCGCAUUAGCUAGUUGGUGAGGUAACGGCUCACCAAGGCGACGAUGCGUAGCCGACCUGAGAGGGUGAUCGGCCACACUGGGACUGAGACACGGCCCAGACUCCUACGGGAGGCAGCAGUAGGGAAUCUUCCGCAAUGGACGAAAGUCUGACGGAGCAACGCCGCGUGAGCGAAGAAGGCCUUCGGGUCGUAAAGCUCUGUUGUUAGGGAAGAACAAGUAUCGGAGUAACUGCCGGUACCUUGACGGUACCUAACCAGAAAGCCACGGCUAACUACGUGCCAGCAGCCGCGGUAAUACGUAGGUGGCAAGCGUUGUCCGGAAUUAUUGGGCGUAAAGCGCGCGCAGGCGGUCCUUUAAGUCUGAUGUGAAAGCCCACGGCUCAACCGUGGAGGGUCAUUGGAAACUGGGGGACUUGAGUGCAG